AUUGAACGCUGGCGGCAGGCCUAACACAUGCAAGUCGAGCGGAUGACGGGAGCUUGCUCCUUGAUUCAGCGGCGGACGGGUGAGUAAUGCCUAGGAAUCUGCCUGGUAGUGGGGGACAACGUUUCGAAAGGAACGCUAAUACCGCAUACGUCCUACGGGAGAAAGCAGGGGACCUUCGGGCCUUGCGCUAUCAGAUGAGCCUAGGUCGGAUUAGCUAGUUGGUGGGGUAAUGGCUCACCAAGGCGACGAUCCGUAACUGGUCUGAGAGGAUGAUGAGUCACACUGGAGCUGAGACACGGUCCAGACUCCUACGGGAGGCAGCAGUGGGGAAUAUUGGACAAUGGGCGAAAGCCUGAUCCAGCCAUGCCGCGUGUGUGAAGAAGGUCUUCGGAUUGUAAAGCACUUUAAGUUGGGAGGAAGGGCAGUAAGCUAAUACCUUGCUGUUUUGACGUUACCGACAGAAUAAGCACCGGCUAACUCUGUGCCAGCCGCCGCCGUAA
Molecule: ribosomal RNA, 500 nt
Filed under: uncultured bacterium
Lineage: Bacteria
Description: partial 16S ribosomal RNA
Rfam family: Bacterial small subunit ribosomal RNA
Source: RNAcentral